UAUAAAACUGGGCACAACCACCAAACAGAAGAAGAAGAAGAAGUAAAUUUUGGCGGUUGGCUCAAGCUGCCCGAACAGUUGAGUUCAUCCUUGACUGAAAGUAACGAUGGCGAACCAAACGCAAAAAGACGACGGCGCAAAUCUGUGGUUUUGUCUGCUUGCACUGGGCUUGCAGCCUGAAAAGCGAAUACACCUCUUGCCAAACGCCUCAAAA
Hippocampus comes (tiger tail seahorse) is the source of this 214-nucleotide long non-coding RNA. RefSeq lists it as uncharacterized. The record is from RefSeq and is a predicted model, not a curated record. The transcript has 2 exons. NCBI's taxonomy places the organism in Eukaryota, Metazoa, Chordata, Actinopteri, Syngnathiformes, Syngnathidae.